AUUGAACGCUGGCGGCAUGCCUUACACAUGCAAGUCGAACGGCAGCACGGGAGCAAUCCUGGUGGCGAGUGGCGAACGGGUGAGUAAUAUAUCGGAACGUGCCCAGUCGUGGGGAUAACGUAGCGAAAGCUACGCUAAUACCGCAUACGAUCUAUGGAUGAAAGCGGGGGAUCGCAAGACCUCGCGCGAUUGGAGCGGCCGAUAUCAGAUUAGGUAGUUGGUGAGGUAAAGGCUCACCAAGCCGACGAUCUGUAGCUGGUCUGAGAGGACGACCAGCCACACUGGGACUGAGACACGGCCCAGACUCCUACGGGAGGCAGCAGUGGGGAAUUUUGGACAAUGGGCGCAAGCCUGAUCCAGCAAUGCCGCGUGCAGGAUGAAGGCCUUCGGUUGUAACGUAGCUUU
This 405-nucleotide ribosomal RNA is filed under the name uncultured bacterium. RNAcentral's name for it is "bacterial SSU rRNA". It matches the Rfam family "Bacterial small subunit ribosomal RNA", at positions 30 to 436 of the family's 1533-position model. The record is from RNAcentral.